This 499-nucleotide ribosomal RNA is filed under the name uncultured bacterium. Its description in RNAcentral is "bacterial SSU rRNA". It matches the Rfam family "Bacterial small subunit ribosomal RNA", at positions 26 to 518 of the family's 1533-position model. The record is from RNAcentral.
GCUAGGAUGAACGCUGGCGGCGUGCCUAAUACAUGCAAGUCGAACGAGGUAGCAAUACCGAGUGGCGAACGGGUGAGUAACACGUAGGUAACCUGCCCUUAAGCUUGGGAUACCCAGAGGAAACUUGGCUAAUACCGGAUAACAACAGAGAAGGCAUCUUCUUUGCUUGAAAGGCCCCUUCAAGGGUCACUUAAGGAUGGACCUGCGGCGCAUUAGCUAGUUGGUGAGAUAACAGCCCACCAAGGCGAGGAUGCGUAGCCGAACUGAGAGGUUGAUCGGCCACAUUGGAACUGAGACACGGUCCAAACUCCUACGGGAGGCAGCAGUAAGGAGUUUUCGGCAAUGGGGGAAACCCUGACCGAGCAACGCCGCGUGAGCGAUGACGGUCCUUUGGAUUUGUAAAGCUCUGUUGUAAGCCAUGAAUGACAGCUUGAGGAAAUGCAAGUUGUUUGACGACAGCUUACCAGAAAGCCACGGCUAACUACGUGCCAGCCGCAGC